This 450-nucleotide ribosomal RNA is filed under the name uncultured bacterium. Its description in RNAcentral is "partial 16S ribosomal RNA". It matches the Rfam family "Bacterial small subunit ribosomal RNA", at positions 354 to 796 of the family's 1533-position model. The record is from RNAcentral.
GUAGGGAAUCUUCGGCAAUGGACGAAAGUCUGACCGAGCAACGCCGCGUGAGUGAAGAAGGUUUUCGGAUCGUAAAACUCUGUUGUUAGAGAAGAAUGUUGAUUAGAGUGGAAAAUUAAUCAAGUGACGGUAUCUAACCAGAAAGGGACGGCUAACUACGUGCCAGCAGCCGCGGUAAUACGUAGGUCCCGAGCGUUGUCCGGAUUUAUUGGGCGUAAAGCGAGCGCAGGUGGUUUAAUAAGUCUGAUGUAAAAGGCAGUGGCUCAACCAUUGUGUGCAUUGGAAACUGUUAGACUUGAGUGCAGUAGAGGAGAGUGGAAUUCCAUGUGUAGCGGUGAAAUGCGUAGAUAUAUGGAGGAACACCGGUGGCGAAAGCGGCUCUCUGGACUGUCACUGACACUGAGGCUCGAAAGCGUGGGUAGCAAACAGGAUUAGAUACCCUAGUAGUCC